AUGCAUAUAUGAGGUGCUUUCUUUUCUCUCUAACACUCGUAUUUAAUUUUUAAGGCAUAUUAUUCUGUUAUUUGAUAGUUCCUUGACUUUUGUGCCUAUAUAUCAGUGUUUUAUGAUUGCAUUUUCAUAUUGUUGUCUUUUUUUCUUUGUCAAUCCACUGAAAACGAUCUCAUGAAAAACUUUUUUCCUUUUAAUGCGGCAUGCGGAGAAAUAUUCCGUGGCCCAUAUUUAGGUCUUUUUCUGUAUGAAAUAUUAUUUACUCUUAAACCACCUACAUGGCUCUUCAUAUAUAUCUUGGAUGUAUGAAGGGCAGAAAAAUUGUCUCGGGUGGUUAUCCUUCUCUCUUCGAGUUGAAGUUAAAUCACUUUCUUUGUAAGGUACGGUAAAUUCAGAUUUGGGAUCGAUGCUCUUGUAUAAUUUUUUAUAUGUUAGAAUUUUUCUUGCCAAAUAUUUUUUUUAUAAGCUCAAAGGAUUUAGGAAAAGCUAAAGUCACACUGAGAGUUGGGUCCCGAUGAAUUAUCCCGACAACCUUUUUUUUUUUUUUUUUUUUUUUUACUUAGUGAUUAAGGAAGUGUUUUUAAUGAUAUUGUGAUUUUUUUAAAAAAAUAUUUAAGGGUAUAAAAUGAAUGAAAAAAGGACAUUUGGCUUUAUCGGGACUCAUCCUCGAGCUACACUCUUGGUGGGUGCACAACUCAAGGAUUUAUAGGAGAUGGAGCUCCCUGCGAGGCACGAACUUCUGUAUGCCAAAUCCGCAUUUGUCUCAUUUGUGGUUAUUCCUAUACCAUUCUUUAUAUUCUUGAACUUAUUAAUUUCUCCUCCAUCUCUUCCUCUACUCGUCCUUCAUGUCCUACUCAUCCUCUUUUUCUUUCUCUAUUUCUUCUUCUCCUCCCUCCUCUCCUUCCCUUGCUCGUAAGGAGUCCUACUCCUACUCUCUUACUCCUCUACUUGUCCUCUUUGUCGUACUCCUCUCUUCCUCAUCGUCUUCAUCUUCGUCUUCUUCCUCUCUUCUUCGUCCACGUCCUCCACUUCUCUUCCUCCUUCUAGAUGUACUAUCUGCAUGGUACGAUUUUAAAGAUUAGUUUAUUUAUUUUUAGAUGUGAUUAUAACUUUGGUUUUAAAGAUUAGUUACAAAAGCUUGAGAUUUCUAGAGGAGGUCUUACGCAUCCAUGCAACCUUGAUUGGUACUGGCUAGCCUUUGGCCUUGAUCCUUAUGCGACGAACACUCUCUAUAUAUAGUUAGUUAUCUCUAUCUUCUAAUUUAACUCAAUUCUUUCUUUAGGUAAGGUGAAUAACUUGAUUGGCGAGUACACAUUUAUUGUUAAUUUAGUUGUCUCGUUUAUGGUUAUUCCUAUAGUAUUUUUUAUAUUCUUGUUGUUGUUCAUUUCUCCUACUCCUUUCCUUCUGCCUCAUCUCUUACUCUCAUCGUCCUCUCUUCUCAUCCAAAUUCCUCUCCUCCUCCCUCCUUUCUUCCUCUCCACAUACUCCUUGUCCUAGGGUCCUCCUCUCUUUCUACUCUUCCUGUUCUCUUCUUCCGACUCUCUUCCUCACUGUCCUUGUCUUCCUAUUCUCGUCCCCUCAUUCACCUCCUUUCCUCUUCCUUCUCGACAUUUUUGUAGAUGUACCAUCUUUAUAGUAUACUUUUGGAGAUCACUUUGUUUUUGGUUAAAUAUGAUUAGAAUUUUGGUACUCAUUUUUCGAUUCUCUCUAGUUUAUUAAAUAGCUACCAAAGCCAAUGUAGAGGAGUACACAUCCCUGCAACCUCGAUUGGAUUGGUGUACUGGCUAGCCUUCGGCCUUUAUCCAAAUGCGAUGAAUGCUUUCUGUAUAUAGGUGAUAUUUUUAUACGUACCUUUUUUUUUUUUUGUAUAAAAUACUAUUUACAGGUUUGUAUGCUUUCCAAUAGUUGGGAUUUUUUGUAUGAAAUUUUAUUUGCAGUACUUCAUCCUCCUACAUGGCUUUUCAUAUCUAUACUGGAUGUAUGGCAAAACAAUUGUCCUGGGUAGUUAGUUAUCUCUCUCUUCUAGUUGAACUCACUUCUUUCUUCAGGUAAGGUGAAACUUGUUUGCCGAUUACGCAUUUAUUUUUAAUUUAGUUGUCUCAUUUAUGGUUAUUUUUUAUAUUCUUGUUAUUGUUAAUUUCUACUUCUCUUCUCCUUCUCCUUUCCUCUUGUUGUCCUACUCCUCUCAUUUUCCUCCUAUAUUCCUCUCAUCCCUCCUAUGUUCCUCUCCUUGUACUCCUCAUCCUACUCCUCCUCUCUUUCCACUCUCUCUGUCCUCUUCGUCCUACUAUUCUCUUCCUCACAGUUCUCGUCUUCUUCUUUUCUUCCUCGUUCACAUCCUUUCCUCUUCCUCCUCCACCUUUUUGUAGAUGUACUAUCUUUAUAGUAUAUUUUUAGAGAUCACUUUGUUUUUGGUCAUAUGUGAUUAGAAUUUUAGUAUUCCUUUCUCAAUUAUCUCGAGUUUUUAAUAUAAUAGAUACCAAAGCUUGAGAUUUGUAGAGGCGGCCUUACGCAUAUCCCUACAACCUCGAUUGGAUUGGUGUACUGGCUAGCCUUCGAACUUGAUCCUUAUGCAAUGAAUGCUCUCUGUAUAUAGGUGAUAUUUUUAUACUUACAUUUGUUUUUGUAUAAAAUUCUAUUUAGAACUUUGUAUGCUCUCUAACAUUUGAGACUUUCUUCUAUGAAAUUUUAUUUGCAGUACUUCACCCUCCUACGUGGCGUUUCAUAUCUAUGCUGGAUGUAUGACGAACAAAAGAUUUACAUGGGUCGUUAGUUAUCUAUCUCUUCUAGUUGAACUCACUUCUUUCUUCAGGUAAGGUGAGUAACUUGAUUACCGAUUACGUAUUUAUUUUUUAAUAUAGUUGUCUCGUUUAUGGCUAUGCCUAUAACAUUUUUUAUAUUCUUGUUAUAUUGUUAAUUUCUCCUACUCAUGUCCUUCUCCCUCAUCUCUUCCUCUUCUUGUCCUACUCCUCUCUUCCUGCCGUCAUCAUCCUCUUCGUCGUACUCCUCUCUUCCUCAUCAUCUUCGUUUUCUCGUCCCCAUUCAUGUCCUCUUUUCUUGCUCCUCCACCUUUUUCAAGAUGUACUAUCUUUAUAGUAUAUUUUUAAAGAUCAAUUUAUUUUUGGUCAUAUGUGAUCAGAAUUUUGGUAUUCUUUUCUCAAUUCUCUUGAGUCUUUAAUAUAAUAGCUACCAAAACUUGAGAUUUGAUUGGUGUGUUGGCCUUGAUCCUUAUGCGAUGAAUGCUUUCUAUUUAAAACUUUGUGUGCUCUCUAACAUUUGAGACUUUUUUGUACGAAAUUUCAUUUGUCGCACUUCACCCUCCUACAUGGCCUUGAUCCUUAUGUGAUGAACGCUCUCUGUAUGUGGAAGAUGUUUUUCUACUCACAUUUCUUUUUGUAUAAAAUUCUAUUUAAAACUUUGUAUGCUCUCUAACAUUUGAGACUUUUUUGUAUAAAAUUUUAUUUGCAGCACUUCACUCUCCUAUGUGGCGUUUCAUUUCUAUGCUUGAAGUAUGAAGGGCAAAAAAAUUGUCAUGUGUAGUUAGUUAUCUUUCUCUUCUAGUUGAACUCACUUCUUUCUUCAGGUAAGGUGCAACUUGAUUGCCGAUUACACAUUUAUUUUUUAAUUUAGUUGUUUUGUUUAUGGUUAUUCUUAUAGUAUUUUUUAUAUUCAUGUUAUUGUUAAUUUCUACUGCUCUUCUCCUUCUUUGUCCUCCUUUCCUCUCGUCAUCCUACUCCUAUUUUCCUCCUAUAUUCCUCUCCUCCUCCCUCUCCUCCUUUCCUCGUACUCAUCACUUUACUCAUACUCUCUUCCUGCUCUCACCGUCCACUUCGUCCUACUCCUCUCUUCCUCACCAUCUUCAUCUUUCUCUUCUUGUCCUCAUUCAUGUCCUCUUCACUCCCCCCAACUUUCUCAAGAUGUACUAUCUUUAUAGUAUAUUUUUAGAGAACACUUUAUUUUUGGUCAUAUGUGAUGAUAAUUUUGGUAUUCUUUUUUGAAUUCUUUCGAGUUUGUAAUAUAAUAGUUACCAAAACUUGAGAUUUGUAAAGGAGGCCUUACAUAUAUCCUUGCAACCUUGAUUGGAUUGGUGUGUUCGCUAGCUUUUGGCCUUGAUCCUUAUGCGACGAAUGGUAUAUAGUACACUUCACCCUUCUACGUGGCUUUUCAUAUCUAUGCUGGAUGUAUGAAGGGCAAAACAAUUGUCCUAAGUAGUUAGUUAUCUCUCUCUCUUCAAGUUGAACUCACUUCUUUCUUCAGGUAAAGAGAAUAACUUGAUUGCCGAUUACAUAUUUAUUUUUUAAUUUAGUUGUCUUGUUUAUGGUUAUUCCUAGAGAAUUUUUUAGGAUCUUGUUAUUGUUAAUUUCUCAUACUCCUCUCCUCCUCUCUCAUCUCUUCCUCUCCGUCCUACUCCUUUUUUCCUCCUAUAUUCCUCUCCUCCUCCCUCUUCCCUCUUCUCUUCCUCUCCUCGCCCUACUCCUCCUCUCUUCUUGCUCUCAUCGUCCUCUUCGUCCUACUCCUCUCUUCGUCACCGUCUUCGUCUUCCUCUUCUUGUCCUCUUUCACGUCCUCUUCAGUUCCUCCAACUUUGUUAAGAUGUACUAUCUUUAUAGUAUAUUUUUAGAGAACACUUUAUUUAUGAUCAUAUGUGAUUAGAAUUUUGGUAUUCUUUUCCAAUUCUUUCGAGUUUGUAAUAUAAUAGCUACCAAAACUUGAGGUUCGUAAAGGAGGCCUUACACAUCCUUGCAAGCUUGAUUGGAUUGGUGUGUUAGCUAGCUUUUGGCCUUGAUCCUUAUGCGACAAGCGGUAUACAGCACUUCACCCUCCUACGUGGCAUUUCAUAUCUAUGCUGGAUGAAGGGCAAAACAAUUGUCCUAAGUAUUUAGGUAUCUCUCACUAUUCAAGUUGAACUCACUUCUUUCUUCAAGUAAGGUGAAUAACUUGAUUGCCAAUUACAUAUUUAUUUUUCAAUUUAGUUGUCUUGUUUAUGGUUAUUCCUAGAGAAUUUUUUAGGAUCUUGUUAUUGUUAAUUUCUCCUACUCCUCUCCUCCUCCCUCAACUUUUCCUCUCCUCGUCCUACUCCUACUAUUUUACUCCUAUAUUCCUCUCCUCCUCCUUCCUCCCUCCUCCAUCCUCUCCUCAUAUACUCCUCGUCCUACUCCUCCUCUCUUCCUCACCAUCUUCGUCUUCCUCUUUUCAUCCCCGUUCAUGUCCUCUUCUCUUCCUCCUCUAUGGUUUUCAAGAUAUAAUAUCUUUAUAGCAUAUUUUUAGAGGUCACUUUUUUUUUUGUCUAUGUAAUUAUAAGUUUGGUAUUCUUUUUUUAAUUCUCUCGAGUUUUUAGUGUAAUACCUACCAAAGCUCGAUAUUUGUCGAGGGGGACUUACACAUCCUUGCAACCUCGAUUGGAUUGGUAUGUUGGCUCACCUUCGACCUUGAUCCUUAUGCAACAAAGGCUCUCUGUAUAUAGGUGAUAUUUUUCUGAUAUUUUUCUACUCACAUUUCUUUUUGUGUAAAAUGCUAUUUAGAACUUUGUAUGCUCUCUAACACUUGAGACUUUUUGUUUGAAAAUUUAUUUGCAACACUUGAUCCUCCUACGUGGCUUUUCAUAUAUCUCUGUUGGAUGUAUGAAUGACAAAAGAAUUGUCUUGGGUAGUUAGUUAUCUCCCUCUUCUAGUUGAACUCACUGUUUGUUUAGGUAAGGUGAAAAACUUGAUUGGCAAUUACGCAUUUAUUUUUUAACUUAGUUGUCCCGUUUAUGGUUAUUCCUCUAGUAUUUUUUACUUUCUUUUUAUUUUUAGUUUCUCUUAUUCUUCUCAUUUUCCCUCUCCUUUUCCUCUCCUUGUCCUACUCUUCUUUUCCUCCUAUAUUCCUCUCUUCCUCUCCACGUACUCCUCGUCCUACUCCCCAUCUCUCACCGUCCUCUUCGUCCUACUCCUCUCUUCCUUACCGUCCUCGUCUUCUUCUUCCCGUCCUCGUUCAUGGCAUGUUCUCUUCCUCCUCCACCUUUUUCUACAUGUACUUUCUUUAUUGUAUAUAUAAAGAUCACUUUAUUUUUGGUCAAAUGUGAUUAGAAUUUGGGUAUUCCUUUUUCAAUUCUCUCGGGUUUUUAAUAUAAUAGCAACCAAAGCUUGAGAUUUGUAGAGAAGGCCUUACACAUGCAACUUUGAUUGGAUUGGAGUACUGGCCAGCCUUCAGACUUUAUCCUUAUGCGAUGAAGGCUCUUUGUAUAUAGCACUUUACCCUCCUACAAGGCGUUUCAUAUCUAUGCUGGAUGUAUGAAGGGCAAAAAUAUUAACCUGGGUAGUUAGUUAUCUUUCUCUUCUAGUUGAAAUCACUUCUUUCUUCAAGUAAGGUGAAUAACUUGAUUGCCAAUAACACAUUUAUUUUUUAAUUUUGUUUUCUCGUUUAUGGUUAUUCCUAUAGUAUUUUUAUAUUCUUGUUAUUCUUAAUUUCUCCUACUAUUCUUCUUCUUCAUCUAUCUUCCUCUCAUGUUGCCGCCUCUUUUCCACUUACUCCUCGUCCCACUCCCCAUGUCUUACUGCUCUCACCGUCCUCUUCGUUCUACUCCUCUUUUCCUUACCAUCUUCGUCUUCGUCUUCUCGUCCUCGAUCAUGUCCUCUUCUCUUCCUCCUCCACCUUUUUUCUAGAUGUAUUUUCUUUAUAGUAUAGUUUUAAAGAUCACUUUGUUUUUGGUUAGAUGUGAUUAGAAUUUUAGUAUUCUUUUUUCAAUGCUCUCGGGUUUUUAAUAUAAUAGCAACCAAAUCUUAAGAGUUGUAAACUUACGCAUCCCUGCAACCUAGAUUGGAUUGGCGUACUAGCACACCGUCUACCGUAGACCAACUACUUGUCAGCACCGACCUCCCGUACAAUGCAGGAGUUUUAUCGGUACCUCUCCCACCCAAGUUCAAGGUUUCCCAGAUGUUCCGUGUACGACGGGUCUAAUGACCUACUGGAGCACCAGGAAACGUUUAAAGCCCACAUGACCUUGCAUGGCUUCCUGGGAGAGAUUGCUUGCGAAGCCUUUUCACUGACACUGAAAGGAGCCGCCCGGGCCUGGUUUGGGUCUCUGUCACCUGAGACCAUAGAUAGCUUCGACGAUCUGGCUUUCCUCUUCAUAACGCAGAUUAUGGCAAGCCAGAAGAGGAGGCGCCCGACUACUUACCUCUUCACGGUUAAACAGCGGGACGGCGAAAGCCUGAAAUUGUAUCUUUCCCGGUUUAAUCGGGAACGCAUGACCACCGACAACCAAGACGAGAAGAUCACCUUGAUAGCCCUCCUGGGGGGAAUUUGGCCUAGGAAUCCAUUUAUGCCUGAAAUAGCGCGGAAGACCCCCACCAAACUGAGGGAGUCUAUGGACUGGGCAGACAGAUUCAUCAACGCUGAAGACACCCUUGAGGCCCUUAUGGCUUCGCAAUGGUUCGAGAUGGUGCAAGUAGAUUGGAAAGUGGUUGGACAAAACGGAGGCCACAACUGUGGAGGGGAAAAAGAGGAGCACCAAAUACAAAAAGAAAGGGAGAAGCACCGACCCGGCCACGUGGGGUGCCCCACACUCACGAGUUUGGCGGUAAAAGGAGAUGUCAAUCGAGCCCACGAAGAGAGCCAGCCCGAGACAGAGAGGGCCACCAAUAUUGCAAGUACCACAUGAUCGAUCGGCAUAGCACCAAAUUUUGGUGCUAUGCCUUGAAGAGAAGAAGGGAGGAAGACCAACAGAACCGGAGGCGCUAGUCAGAGGAACAAGAAGAUCGGCGUGGGGGGCGUUUGGGCCCCAGCUGGGUGCGAGCCCGAGAAGGUAGAGAACGAGGGUAGAAGCUCGGAGGAGCCCCCCAACAGAGGACAGACCAAUCGAGGAAAUCUGCACGAUUAAUGGAGGAUAUGCAGGAGUGGGAGUCACUUCGUCAGCUUGAAGAGCACACGCCCGGAGGACACACUAUGACGAGGUAUUCACUAUCGGGAGAACUUUCGUCAGGGCACCUCGGCACCUAAGGAGCGCCACGAUAACCUUUGGUGAGAAGAA
RNA transcript from Juglans microcarpa x Juglans regia, 8007 nucleotides. RefSeq lists it as uncharacterized. The transcript is spliced from 5 exons. NCBI's taxonomy places the organism in Eukaryota, Viridiplantae, Streptophyta, Magnoliopsida, Fagales, Juglandaceae. The record is from RefSeq and is a predicted model, not a curated record.